UAGCGUGGUUGGAACUGAUUCCCAUACAACUAUGAUUGCUGGCUUAGGAGUUGUUGGCUGGGGAGUUGGAGGAAUUGAAUCUGAGGCUACAAUGCUUGGCCAGGGAGGAAAUGACUUGAGAUAUAUGACUCAGAGAGAACAGUGGGUCACACAGGUCAGAAAUUUUUUGGAGAGAUGCAAAAUAUGGUCCAAGAAUUAAAGAACUUAGUUUUUUAAG
Molecule: non-coding RNA, 217 nt
Organism: Camellia sinensis
Lineage: Eukaryota; Viridiplantae; Streptophyta; Magnoliopsida; Ericales; Theaceae
Source: RefSeq, a predicted model, not a curated record